AGUUUUUGAUGAUGAUUUUUUACCUACAUUAUUUGAUGUUUAUGAUACAAAAAUAUUACCUGAAAAUUGU
Pieris napi is the source of this 70-nucleotide small nucleolar RNA. RefSeq annotates it as small nucleolar RNA SNORD34. NCBI's taxonomy places the organism in Eukaryota, Metazoa, Arthropoda, Insecta, Lepidoptera, Pieridae. The record is from RefSeq and is a predicted model, not a curated record. The transcript has a single exon.